Molecule: ribosomal RNA, 1403 nt
Filed under: uncultured bacterium
Lineage: Bacteria
Description: 16S ribosomal RNA
Rfam family: Bacterial small subunit ribosomal RNA
Source: RNAcentral
AGAGUUUGAUCCUGGCUCAGGAUGAACGCUAGCGGCAGGCUUAACACAUGCAAGUCGAGGGGCAGCGGGGAGGAAGCUUGCUUUCUCCGCCGGCGACCGGCGCACGGGUGAGUAACACGUAUGCAACCUGCCCCUGUCAGGGGGACAACCCGCCGAAAGGCGGGCUAAACCCGCGUACAUGCCACCGGGGCAUCCCGGAGGCAGGAAAGGCUUCGGCCGGACAGGGAUGGGCAUGCGGCGCAUUAGGCAGUAGGCGGGGUAACGGCCCACCUAACCGACGAUGCGUAGGGGUUCUGAGAGGAAGGUCCCCCACACUGGUACUGAGACACGGACCAGACUCCUACGGGAGGCAGCAGUGAGGAAUAUUGGUCAAUGGGCGCGAGCCUGAACCAGCCAAGUCGCGUGAGGGAAUAAGGUCCUAUGGAUUGUAAACCUCUUUUGUCGGGGAGCAAUGAGCGUCACGUGUGAUGCGUUGAGAGUACCCGAAGAAAAAGCAUCGGCUAACUCCGUGCCAGCAGCCGCGGUAAUACGGAGGAUGCGAGCGUUAUCCGGAUUUAUUGGGUUUAAAGGGUGCGCAGGCGGAGGUGCAAGUCAGCGGUCAAAUUGCGGGGCUCAACCCCCGUACUGCCGUUGAAACUGCAUCCCUUGAGUGCGCGAGAAGUAUGCGGAAUGCGUGGUGUAGCGGUGAAAUGCAUAGAUAUCACGCAGAACUCCGAUUGCGAAGGCAGCAUACCGGCGCGCAACUGACGCUCAUGCACGAAAGCGUGGGUAUCGAACAGGAUUAGAUACCCUGGUAGUCCACGCAGUAAACGAUGAACACUAACUGUUCGGCCAAAGUGAUGGCUGAGUGGUACAGCGAAAGCGUUAAGUGUUCCACCUGGGGAGUACGCCGGCAACGGUGAAACUCAAAGGAAUUGACGGGGGCCCGCACAAGCGGAGGAACAUGUGGUUUAAUUCGAUGAUACGCGAGGAACCUUACCCGGGCUCAAACGGGGAGUGACACAGGCAGAGACGCCUGUUUCCCACGGGACACUCCCCGAGGUGCUGCAUGGUUGUCGUCAGCUCGUGCCGUGAGGUGUCGGCUUAAGUGCCAUAACGAGCGCAACCCCCGCGUGCAGUUGCUAACAGAUAACGCUGAGGACUCUGCACGGACUGCCGGCGCAAGCCGCGAGGAAGGCGGGGAUGACGUCAAAUCAGCACGGCCCUUACGUCCGGGGCGACACACGUGUUACAAUGGGUGGUACAGCGGGAAGCCAGGCGGCGACGCCGAGCGGAACCCGAAAUCCACUCUCAGUUCGGAUCGGAGUCUGCAACCCGACUCCGUGAAGCUGGAUUCGCUAGUAGUCGCGCAUCAGCCAUGGCGCGGUGAAUACGUUCCCGGGCCUUGCACUCACCGCCCGUCA